ACCAAUCUCAAAGCCUCUCCAGCUGCCCAUAAACCCUGAAGAAGAAAUGUGUGGAAAGUUUUUUUCCUAGAUUAAACCUGGCUGUGAUUUUCCGACCAAAUUCAGCUGUUUAUUCUUCCCAGAACUCAAACCCAAAUUUCAAUUUCGGUUUCAUAAAAUCUAAAAAAAUCCCAUUUAUCUUUUAACCUCAAAAUCAAAAAUAACAUCUGAAAUUCCCUUUAAAACGACAGUCAUAUCAAUUUCCUGAGGUCUAAGCAAACCCUAAAUCCCCAUUUCUUCCGAACCCUUAAGUAAGAUUAUUUUUUCUUUCAUGCGGAACCUCAACCAUCUCCCGAAUGAGAUUUUACUAGACAUCGUAACUCGUUUGCCGAUUGAAUCCAUACUAGACUGCAAAUCCGUAUGUAGACAAUGGCGAAAUCUUGUUUCUCAUAAUCCAUCUUUCUCUCCAUUGCACUUAUCUCGUCUGAAUGAUAUUGAUUCUGGUAAGAAAUGUUUUUUAGUAUUAUAUGAUAAACAAGUACUUCAUUAUUUUGAUUACGAUGUGAAUGAUGAUGAGACACCCAUUCGUAGUAUCAGAAGGAUCAAUUUUACCCCUCCGUUAACUUGUCUGUAUAAGGUUGUUGGUUCGAUUAACGGUUUAGUCUUUUUUUAUGGAUAUAAAGAUGAGAUUGGUUGUGUUUGUAAUCCGGUGACCAAAGAAAGUGUUAUGAUUCCAAAAAUUAGCAGAGAUUGUCAUAAUCACUAUAAUACUAGGGCGAUAGGAUUUGGUUACCUUCCUUUGACUGAUGAAUAUAAAGUUGUUGGAUUGUAUGAUACUAGAGAUUUUGGUUGUCUAGAGGUUGCAGUAUACACUCUUGGAAGUGCCAAUAAGUGGAGAAAAGCUGAGAGGUUGUGUGCUGCAGUUGCAUUGUAUGUUUAUGGUAAGUUUGCUUAUGGAGCUCUUUAUUGGAGGGAUGUAAAUACAGGAAGUGUUUUUGCUUUUGAUUUGACUGAGGAGAAAUUUAGUGAACAUCUUCGACCACCUACUUUGCUACAAAACGGUGCUUGGGUCAAUCAUACUCUAGGGGUUUUAGAUGGGGUAUUGUAUUAUGCUAUCAGAGAUAAACGUCAAGUCGACAAAUGCUUUGAAAUUUGGCUACUAAGAAAGAAGAACGAUAUUGCUCACAUGAAACAGCAGGGGGAACACGAGCUGUUGGGUUGGAGUAAAGAGUUAAGUAUUCGUGAAGAUAAGCUAUUAGCCUUUACCAAGAGUCGCAUUGUUCUAUGUUACAAUUUGUGGUUUCUCGGCAUAUAUGACACAAUAGCUUCAACCUCGAGAAAGCUUAUAGAUUUUCCUGCAUUUAGUAAAAUACUCCCUCACAAGAACACCUUAGUUUCAAUGAAAGAAUUAAGAGAAGAAGACAAACAAAUAGUGGAGUCGGCUGAAUUGAGGAGACAGAAAGCUGUGAUUUGCUGACAAAGCAGCUAGCAAGAUGAGAUCCAUGACUACAAUUAUUAACUGUUGGUUUGCGCAAAUGAAUAUGAAUAGAUGCGUAGUUGGUGAUAAAUGGUCCAUGAGGAUUUUGUGGCUCUGUGCUAUUGGAAGUGCUGCUUGUGGAUGGUUGGUGUAGUCAGACAGGUCCAGAACAGGUCUAGAGCGUUUGCUGAAAGCUUGAAGGUCAUGGAUGCUGCAGAUAGCUAGAGUGGUGAAGGAGCUUAAAGAAACAGUCAAGUCAUCUCAAUAUGCGUACAUUGUCUCUAAAACCUUUUCUUAUGCUUCUUUGUAUUUCAAGUCAAAAUGUUUUGUUUAGGUAUGCAGUGACUGUGUGUCUUACUGUGGUUGCAAACUAACAUUUGGUUUGGUAUUCUGAUUUAAUCUUCUCCAUCUUGAGACUAAACCUAGUAUGGUGGUAGGUUGUGAAUAAGCAAAUAACCCAAUACGAAAAUUCAGUACGUUUCA
This is an RNA transcript of Papaver somniferum (opium poppy), 1939 nucleotides long. It is a transcript of the gene named F-box protein At3g07870-like, with no coding region annotated. The record is from RefSeq and is a predicted model, not a curated record. The transcript is spliced from 3 exons. NCBI's taxonomy places the organism in Eukaryota, Viridiplantae, Streptophyta, Magnoliopsida, Ranunculales, Papaveraceae.